Cavia porcellus (domestic guinea pig) is the source of this 64-nucleotide transfer RNA. It matches the Rfam family "tRNA". Rfam says of the family: Transfer RNA (tRNA) molecules are approximately 80 nucleotides in length. Their secondary structure includes four short double-helical elements and three loops (D, anti-codon, and T loops). The record is from Rfam. Lineage: Eukaryota; Metazoa; Chordata; Mammalia; Rodentia; Caviidae.
GGGGAUUUAGCUCAGCGGCAUAAGCGCCUGCCUUGCAAGCAGGCAGUCUUGAGUUCAGUCCCCG